RNAcentral lists this long non-coding RNA (1464 nucleotides) under Monodelphis domestica (gray short-tailed opossum). Its description in RNAcentral is "lncRNA (ENSMODG00000051184.1)". Lineage: Eukaryota; Metazoa; Chordata; Mammalia; Didelphimorphia; Didelphidae. The record is from RNAcentral.
CUUCCUCUCUCUACACUGGCUGAUGAUAUUCCUCACCUCACCUGUCUCUUUGCUCAGCAGCCCAAUAGGAGCACUUUCUCCCUCCUCUGUGUGGGGUAAGGGGUGGGGGCAGGGUCCACCUGGCAUUGGCGGGAGGGGCAAGUCACGUGGCUGGGGUAGGGGCGGGGCAGGACUGGGAUGGCACUCCAUCUCUAAAAGGUUUGCCAUCACUGGCCUAGCCCUUACUGCUCUUUUGCAAAUUUUUUUAAACCUUUACUUCCCCCUUAGAACUAAAAAGUAAUAAGGACAAAAGCUUUAUUCUUUAAACUUGUGAAAAGUCUAGUUCGUGUAUGUAUGUGUAUCCACAUACGGCUAGGCAUAUAUUGGGUGUGUACAUAAAUGUAUAUAGGUACUGUCUGUGUGUAUUUAGUCCUAUAUGACACUUCAGGACUCCACUGGGGCUUUUGGCAAGGCUAUCGGCGGUUUGCCGUUGCCUUCUCGAGCUCAUUUUACAAACAGGAUUAAAUGCCUUGCUCCGAAUCACGCAGCUAGUAAGUGUCUGAGUCCGAAUUUGAACUCGGGUCUCUUCCUGGCUCCAAGCCCUGCUGUGCCACCGCGGUGCCCUUCAUCUGUACUGUGUACCCGUGUACUCAGACAUGUGGGUGUUCCUGAUCCUGGUCCUCAAAUCAACCACCUGUCUGAAAGGGAAUUUUAAAAUAACAAAUGAGAACUAAUUCAAAUUGGGCCGCUCUGUGUCCCUUCCACCAGUUUAAAUGAUGCCGUUCUCAGCCUCAUUCAUUCCGGCUAGGUCCGCUGCUUCCCCAUCUUCUUUAUUUUUUGCUGACCUCUCGGAGGCACGGAGCUGUGCACGGAACGAGGGGCUGUGCUUUCGGGGCAGGGAUACGCUUGGAGACCCCGCAGGCACCAGCCCAGACGCGUUUACCCGGGGAACGAGCGCGCCCCGCGUAACGGAGCUGUCCACUCGACUGAUUCCGAACGUGGUGGGAGAAGAUCCGAAGGGAAAGCCGAGCCAAAGGAGGUCAGGCUUCUUCCGGGGCAUCCUGGGAAUUGUAGUCCCCAGUGUGCCAGGGAUUCCACGCCCCGGGAAGAACUUGACUACGGUCCCCGAAAGCCUCCAGGCUUUCAGCUGGUGGGAGCAGCACUUCCUGAAACAGCUCGGGCUCAGCGGGAACCGACGCCGCAGCAGCAAUCCAGGCAGCCGCGGCAGAAACCGCGGCAGCUGCCCAGGGCGAUCUCCUCUCUUUGGGCCACUGCGGGACCCAGGCCGUGGGAGGCCCGUUUGGAGGAGAGCCAUUCCGACGCCGCAGAUCUUUUGGAAAACCCAAAUCUUGCCUCAGCCUCCAAGAAGCUAGAUAUAGAGAUAGAUAUAAAUGUCCAGUUCAUCUCAUCUGUUCAUGUAGAUUUACUACAAUUUCUCCCCAUUUGACAAAGGCAUUUUUAAACUUCCCAGGCAAACCUCCAACG